GACAGGAGCCUAUGUUUCAACCCUCCCCAUUUUAUCGAUAUCGAUAAGAAUCGUAAGCGUGUAGCGUACUACACUAUUUAAAUCGCUUAUGUUGGUACUAUGGUUCUUUGACAGUUCUUUGUCGUACAUUUUGGUAAAGAUUUGCGAAACAAACUGAUUCCACUCGCUAGUAUGGAAGUCUCGUCUCUUAAAACGUAGUGAUUAUAUGCUCUUUGAUAAUGACAUGCAGUUGCGUCGAUGUAGAUCUAUCAUAAAACGUACAUGUGACGCAUGUGACAAUUGUCCAGGAUGAAAGAACUAUCUUGACAAUUAACAUACAGCAAUACAAUACCACAAAAUGUCAACAAGAAAACAGAUUUAUUAUAAAAAUACAAAUUAUAUACAAAGCUUCAUUUUAAAACCAAUGGUCGUGGGUUCUAACCCCGGCUCUUAACAAUGUGCAUCUUGUAACAUGUACCGAUUGCUUUUCAGUAAAGUAAAAUAUAUUAUCAUGAGGAAGAUGGAGUAGCCCCAAUAAGAUGUCGAACUACCAGCAAAGUUUUUGAAGAGGUGUAGUUUUUAUAUUUCCUGGUACCAAACUGAUACAGGAAAUUGGAACAUCAGUAAAUAAUCUACACCGAAGACAAUGAAAUAUAGUCACAUAAUACUUUAAUGUUUUAUUUUAUUAAAGAAAUCGGUAAAAAAAUGUGUUAACUGAAAAAGAUAAA
Cydia pomonella (codling moth) is the source of this 707-nucleotide long non-coding RNA. RefSeq lists it as uncharacterized. Lineage: Eukaryota; Metazoa; Arthropoda; Insecta; Lepidoptera; Tortricidae. The record is from RefSeq and is a predicted model, not a curated record. The transcript has 2 exons.